GACGAACCGUGCGAACGUUGUUCGGAAUCACUGGGCUUAAAGGGCGCGUAGGCGGCUCGCGAGGUCGGGGGUGAAAUCCCACGGCUUAACCGUGGAAGGGCCUCCGAUACCGGCGGGUUGGAGGAAGGUAGGGGUGCGCGGAACUUCUGGUGGAGCGGUGAAAUGCGUUGAUAUCAGAAGGAACGCCGGCGGCGAAAGCGGCGCACUGGACCUUUUCUGACGCUGAGGCGCGAAAGCCAGGGGAGCGAACGGG
This 253-nucleotide ribosomal RNA is filed under the name uncultured bacterium. RNAcentral's name for it is "partial 16S ribosomal RNA". It matches the Rfam family "Bacterial small subunit ribosomal RNA", at positions 524 to 776 of the family's 1533-position model. The record is from RNAcentral.